Molecule: ribosomal RNA, 316 nt
Filed under: uncultured bacterium
Lineage: Bacteria
Description: bacterial SSU rRNA
Rfam family: Bacterial small subunit ribosomal RNA
Source: RNAcentral
GAUGAACGCUGGCGGCGUGCUUAACACAUGCAAGUCGAGCGAAGCACUUUGAAUUUUUCGGAAUGAGAAGUGACUGAGCGGCGGACGGGUGAGUAACGCGUGGGUAACCUGCCUCAUACAGGGGGAUAACAGUUAGAAAUGACUGCUAAUACCGCAUAAGCGCACGUCAUCGCAUGAUGGUGUGUGAAAAACUCCGGUGGUAUGAGAUGGAUCCGCGUCUGAUUAGCUAGUUGGUAAGGUAACGGCUUACCAAGGCAACGAUCAGUAGCCGACCUGAGAGGGUGACCGGCCACAUUGGGACUGAGACACGGCCCAA